This 29-nucleotide non-coding RNA is filed under the name Cricetulus griseus (Chinese hamster). Lineage: Eukaryota; Metazoa; Chordata; Mammalia; Rodentia; Cricetidae. The record is from RNAcentral.
UUUUUAUACUAUUAGGACAUUAAGUGAAU